UACGUAGGUGGCAAGCGUUGUCCGGAAUUAUUGGGCGUAAAGCGCGCGCAGGCGGUCUCCUAAGUCCGAUGUGAAAGCCCACGGCUCAACCGUGGAGGGGCAUUGGAAACUGGGGGACUUGAGUGCAGGAGAGAAGAGUGGAAUUCCAAGUGUAGCGGUGAAAUGCGUAGAGAUGUGGAGGAACACCAGUGGCGAAGGCGGCUCUUUGGCCUGGAACUGACGCUGAGGCGCGAAAGCGUGGGGAGCAAACAGG
Molecule: ribosomal RNA, 253 nt
Filed under: uncultured bacterium
Lineage: Bacteria
Description: partial 16S ribosomal RNA
Rfam family: Bacterial small subunit ribosomal RNA
Source: RNAcentral